UGACGGUACCACUUGAAUAAGCUCCGGCUAACUACGUGCCAGCAGCCGCGGUAAUACGUAGGGAGCAAGCGUUAUCCGGAUUUACUGGGUGUAAAGGGCGUGCAGGCGGGACUGCAAGUCAGAUGUGAAAGCACGAGGCUCAACUUCGUGUCUGCAUUUGAAACUGUAGUUCUUGAGUGUUGGAGAGGCUAACGGAACUCCUAGUGUAGCGGUGAAAUGCGUAGAUAUUAGGAAGAACACCAGUGGCGAAGGCGGUUAGCUGGACAAUAACUGACGCUGAGGCGCGAAAGCGUGGGUAGCAAACAGGAUUAGAUACCCUG
This 320-nucleotide ribosomal RNA is filed under the name uncultured bacterium. RNAcentral describes it as "bacterial SSU rRNA". It matches the Rfam family "Bacterial small subunit ribosomal RNA", at positions 470 to 789 of the family's 1533-position model. The record is from RNAcentral.